AAUGAAUCUAACAAAAUGUUAUAAAAUAAGGAAAAAGUAAUUUUACGGAAGAGUUAAAACAUCGGUAGGAUAUUCUGACCAUAAACUUCCUUUCCAUUGACAAGAUUGAAAUCCCAAUGUAAUAAAACUGUUUGGAAAGAAGUACAGUUAGUGUAAGUUUAAGUUUGAUAAAGUGGACGUCAAUCAUCGUAAAAAGCGGUACGAAAGAACUGUCCAUCUUCAUCAAAAGAUUAAAAAAAAAAAAUAAUAAAAAGGAAAAGACACAAAAAAAAAUAAAAUAAAACUUGGAUGAAUGAAAUAAUUGGAGUUUAGUAGAAUAGUGGGCUGUUGGUUCGAUCUCAAUCAUGUUUGAAGAAUCGUACUGUUCAUAGAGGAAAAAGCUUUUUAUCGAUAUCUCGAAGAACAUUGUUAAACGUGAUUCGGUAAUAAAAUUGAAUUGAAGAUUUCUACUUACCUCUAUUUAGUGUAAAAACAAAAAAAAAAGAUUGUGAGAGACAGUAAAGACAUUGGAUUUGGUCUCGAUGAAAAAAUACGAACUUUAAUUUCGAACCCUUCGUAAAACAAAUGUGAUUUCUAAUCGAUGUGAAAAAAAAAAA
This is a long non-coding RNA of Polistes dominula (European paper wasp), 596 nucleotides long. The record is from RefSeq and is a predicted model, not a curated record. NCBI's taxonomy places the organism in Eukaryota, Metazoa, Arthropoda, Insecta, Hymenoptera, Vespidae.